AAAUCUCCAUCAAAGUCUCCAGCAUCACCCUCUGAUCAAAAUAUUAGCAAGGGUGAGCUCACUUAUGGUCGGGGCUCAGCAAGUGGGGGGAAAACUAAUGCAGGUAUAACAAGGUGAGGCUAAGGUUGAGCAGUAAGCAUUUUAGUUGGUCAACAUUUUAUUAACAACACCUGUCUUACUAAUAUGUGUGAAUCCCAAAUAUCCCAUUUAAACAAAGGAAUAUGAGUAUAGCAAAAACACUUAAGUGAAACCACUUAAGCAAAUUAUUGGGAGAUCAUCGGAUCUCAAUUUAAUUCCAUCUUCAAGUUCAAUUAUCAUGUGAGGAGUCCAGGUCGCUCAUAACCGGGAGCACGACUGAUAUAUCAGUUUUACACUCUGCAGAGGUGGUACAACUUUACCCACAAGCCAUGUAUCCCAUCUAGCCCGGGUUGAUCGGACCCUUAAACACUGCUGAAGGUGAAUGGCUAGGGAUCCGUUAUGAGGCUUUCACAAAAUAUACUUAAUACGAAGCAACCCGCUAAGGUUUCUAAAGACGAUGGUGGUGGCCCCCUGGGUGAGGUACCUUAGACAAGAAUAUGUCCCCAUGUUAACGUGGGCUGCCAGCACCUACCGCUUCCCCUCUUGCCCAUGUUUCAGGUAAGGUUGCGAGGCACUAAGCAUAUAAUGCUAAUUACCAAAGCCAGAGCCAUGAUAGCACUCGUGGUUGCACUGUUAUCCUGGGUGGUCACUCCAUGUUCCAAUUAAUUUAAAAUAAUGUUAUCUUAACCAUCGGGUUAAUGUCAUAAUUGCCAAUUAAAUUUUUGGAACAUUAAAACCAAUUAAUGAGUGACAUUAAAAAUCAUUAAGUUGAGCGAUAGCAUAAAUUUUGCACAGCUUAAUAAUUUUCCCAGGUUAAACAAGGAAUACAGGUAGUAAAUCUAGGAAAUCCUUAAUUAGGUAAACCCAUCAAAUUAUGCAAUAUAUCAAAAAGUAAACAUUAUUAUAUGCAAUGAGUAGGUACAAACAGAAUAUGCAGAGGGAGAAUCCACUUGCCUUGCUCAAAUGCGUCCUGUGGAUCAUCUUCGAACGAAUUCGGAUCCUUUACCACACAAUCGGCUUCUAAUAACGAUUCGCAUAUCGUACAAACAAAAGAAAUCAUUCACCAAUAAAUACACACGCACCAUUCAACAAACAAUGAAACAUACACUUUACAAAUCAUACAUAUAAAAGGAAGACAUCUAAAAAUAAACCUUGAUUUGUAAUUAUAAUAUAAGUCUAUCCAUAUCGACGAUAGUCUCAUUUGCUACGAGGUAAACUACUAAUAAUUUAGUCUCGAGAAUACACUAGAGGAAUCUAUAUGGCAAAUUGACUAUGGAGGUAUAUACUAUAUGGAUUCAUUUAAAAAUACAUAAAUGUGGUGCUAAUUCAAACUUUAUAGAAUCUAGAAAAUUAACCAAUUAAUUAUUGUAUUUCUACCGGAAAGGAUGUAGGUAAUAUUUUAUUAUUUCUUUCUAAAAGAAAAUUAUAGUAAACGUUACAACCUUAUUUAAAAAGUCACAUAACCUUGAUAUUUAAAAGAACUAAAUUAACCUACCAAUUUAAUUCUACUAUUUAGUUUAUAGUAGACAUAGUCGCUAUAUUAUUUUAUUAAUCGAGGCUCUAGCAUGACUAGCAAUUUGUAUAUAAUCACACAUACGAACACAUACGGUGUGACUAAAAUAUAUAAUUCAUUCUGAGCAAAGACAACCGUAGAAUUAUUCAUCUAGUAUUAUUGUUACAAAUAUAUGGUUUACCUAUCCCUUAAUCUUUUACUCUAACAAACUAUAUUUAAAUUAAUGUCAACAAUCAUAAUCAAAUUAAAAUACACAAACGUGAAAGACAGCAUACACUAAUUAAAAUAGAUCAUCACAUACAUAUGAAAUUAAUCGUUCAGUAUAAACAUGAUUUCAGACUCAAAAUUCACAACUAAAAAUUAUAAUUCGCCACAGAAGUUAGAUCGUGAUUAACUAACUCUUUUGAACUAAGAAAUAAUCUCACACAAAAUAAUCUAUCUAUAGGGAUUAGACACAAAAUAUUCUUUUUCUACCUCUCCUUUCUCUUGUGCAGUGAACGAGGACGAAUGGGGCAGGUAGUCGGGUGUCGGGGGAAAGUCGUCGGGACGCAGCGUCGGCUUCGGAGUUCCGGUCAACGGUGAACGGCUCCAGCGGCGAGCGGCUCCGGUCAGCGGUGAACGGUGAGGACCAUGCCACGGAGGAGGGAGUUCGAUGGAGGUGCGGCUGGGGAGCUCGGAGUGGGCUUGGGACGGAUGGGGACUGGCUCUAUGGGGGCACGGUCGAGUUUUGUAGAGGUGUGGGAAGGUGUAACGGACGCCGGUAGAGCUUCAUUGGCCAUUAAU
RNAcentral lists this long non-coding RNA (2374 nucleotides) under Zea mays. RNAcentral's name for it is "long non-coding RNA (ZMAY_LNC003105)". The record is from RNAcentral. Lineage: Eukaryota; Viridiplantae; Streptophyta; Magnoliopsida; Poales; Poaceae.